Paramisgurnus dabryanus is the source of this 484-nucleotide non-coding RNA. Lineage: Eukaryota; Metazoa; Chordata; Actinopteri; Cypriniformes; Cobitidae. The record is from RefSeq and is a predicted model, not a curated record.
UGUUUGAAGGGGAUGAUGGCGGGAAUGGAAAUAAUGAAUGGAGUGUUGUAGAAAAACGGAAAAGAAAGAAAAAUAGCGCAUCUGAAAACGAUAGUGAUAAUGGACCUCGUCUGACAAGAAGAAGGAAAGAGGAGUAUAAGAUCAGUAGGUGGCGGUAAUGCACCUUUUUCGUUGGUUUGCCAAACCGCCAUAAAACACCAGAAGAAGAAGAAGAAGAAUGACCGGGAAAAUCGGACAGGACUGAGAAGAUGACAACAGCACAGCGGGGUUUUAGAAGCCCAUCAGAGUGAUUUUCUGAGUUCUUUCACAUAUGCUGUAUGGUCAGCGAAUGGAUGGAUUAUCCAGUCACGGUACAUAAUGAAAGAUGCAGUUAUGUCAAAGCACUCGUUUCGGCUGGCCAGAUUGGAACAGACCUGAAUGGGAAGAUGGCAGAGCUAAGACUGGCAAUGUCCAAGAAAAAUAUUAACUAAAAAUGAGUGUGUUU